AAAAAGAGCGUAUGGUGGAUGCCUUGGUUUGAAGAGGCGAUGAAGGGCGUGGCGUGACUGCGAUAAGCCUCGGGGAGGUGUCUAGCAACCUUUGAUCCGGGGAUUUCCGAAUGAGGCAACUCAAUCUCAAUAAAAUGGGAUUACUCCGACCUUAGGUCGGAGAGCGUACCCGCUGAAGUGAAACAUCUCAGUAAGCGGAGGAAAAGAGAACAAUAGUUUAUUCCCCCAGUAGCGGCGAGCGAAAAGGGAAGAGCCUAAACCUGAAAUAAAACUUCGUUAGCAAAAUGGCCCUGGAAAGGCCAACCAAAGAAGGUAAUAGUCCUGUAGGCGAAAACGGUUUUAUACUUCUAAUUAUUAUCCCGCAUUUUGCGGGACCCCGCCAUCGGCGGUGGUUCUUAAGUACUUCGACGCAUGAAUGGGUCGGAGGAAUCAGGGAGAACUAACUCCCAAGGCUAAAUACUCUUCAAAACCGAUAGUGAACUAGUACCGUGAGGGAAAGGUGAAAAGCAGCCCGGUGAGGGCGAUGAAAUAGUACCUGAAACCAUGCGCUUACAAGGAAUCAGAGCCCCGCUUCGGCGGGGUGAUGGUGUGCCUAUUGAAGAAUGAGCCAACGAGUUAUUUUGCGUUGCUUAUCUAACCCCGCUUAGCGGGGGGAGGUUUAGCGAAAGCGAGUCUUAAUAGGGCGAAUCUUUAACUUGGAAACUAAGUUCCCGUUUGGAAACUUAGUUUCCUCGGAUAAAGAACGCAGCGCGAAAUAGACCCGAAACCAGGUGAGCUUACCAUGGCCAGGGUGAACCCCGUCGAAGGACGGGGGGAGGCCCGAACCGGUUGGCCGUGCAAUACCAUCGGAUGAGUUGUGGUAAGGAGUGAAAAACUAAUCGAACCUGGUAAUAGCUGGUUCUCUCCGAAAUAGCUUUAGGGUUAGCGUCCUGUCAAAAUUUCCGGGGUAGAGCUACUGGAUGAAAAGAAUAGGGGGAAACCUCGUUUUUUCAACCAAACUCCGAAUACGGAACCUCAAUAUGUUGAUAUUUCUAUAUAUUGAAAGGCAGGGCAGUUAGACCGUGGGGGCGAAGCUUCACUGGUCAAAAGGGGAACAGCCCGAAUCUCCAUCUAAGGUCCCUAAAUUUCUUCGACGUAAAGUCGGAGCUUCGACCUCGCAAGAGCGUCGGAGCGGCUAAGUGCGCUUAAGGUAGUCUUAUUUCAGAGAUAACGAGGAGGUUGGCUUAGAAGCAGCCACCCUUUAAAGAGUGCGUAACAGCUCACUCGUUAAGAAAUUUGGCGCCGAAAAUACUCGGGGCUAAGCCGAAUACCGAAGGUGAGAACGAUGGUAGGAGAGUAUUUUCAACUGCUGUGAAGUCCACGCCGCGAGGCGGGAUGGAGCGUUGAGAAGUAAAAAUGUUGGCACAAGUAACCGCAAUGCCGGUGAGAUCCCGGCAUGCCGAAAGUCUAAGGUUUCCUUGGCAAUGGUGAUCAUCCAAGGGUUAGUCGGGCCUAAGGCAAUGGCGAAAGCCGCAGCUGAUGGACAUACGGUUAAUAUUCCGUAACUUCUUUGUUUUUUGAUGAAGCGACGGAUGAAAUAAAAAAGAGCGCAUUAUUGGAUUUGCGCUGCCGGCCAAUAGAGAUUUUUCUCAGGAAAAUCCGGGAAGAUGAUUAAAUUCAAAUCUCGAGGUUGGCAAAAUUUUUGUCUUCGGACAGGAAAAUUCUUUUGAAUAGCGUUCCAAGAAAAACUUCUAAAAUUAUGAACAAAGGACCCGUACCGCAAUCCGACACAGGUAGACUAGUCGAGAAGACUAAGGCAAACGGGUGAGUUCUUCCCAAGGAACUCGGCAAAAAAGCGAUCGUAAGUUAGCGAUAAGAUCUCCCCGACUUCGGUCGGGGCGCAGCGAAAGUACCCCUGGCGACUGUUUAUCAAAAACACAGCUCCCUGCGAACUCGUAAGAGGAUGUAUAGGGGGUGACGCCUGACCAAUGCGAGAAGUUAAAUGCCGAUGGUGGCUUUGCGCAAGCGAAACUGCUGGUUGGUAUAAGCCCUCGUCAAUGUCGGCCGUAACUAUAACGGUCCUAAGGUAGCGAAAUUCCUUGUCUGGUAAGUUCAGACGUGCACGAAUGGCGUAACGACUGGGGGACUGUCUCGGGAAGAAGCCCGGUGAAAAUACAAUGCCCGUGAAGAUGCGGGCUACCUGCAGCUAGACGAAAAGACCCCAGAAGCUUUACUGCAGCUUGAUAUUGAAUUUAAGUUUUGGAUGCGUAGCAUAGGCGGGAGGCGUUGAGUCCUUGCUUUCGGGCGGGGAGGAGCCGACAGUGAAAUACCGCUCUUCUAAAAUUUAUAUUCUAACCUCGGCGGAAAAAACGCCAAGAGACAGUAUCUGGUGGGCAGUUUUGCUGGGGCAGCAUUCUCCUAAAAAGUAAUGGAGAAGUUUAUUAAGGUCAGCUAGGCGCGGAUGGAAAUCGUGCCGGUCGUGCAAUGGCAUAAGCUGGCUUAACUGUAAGGCGUACAUGCCGAGCAGAUGCGAAAGCAGAACAUAGCGAACUGCUUGUUGGCAUUAGAUGCUGCAAGCAAUUAACGGAUAAAAGUUACUCUGGGGAUAACAGGCUGGUCGGACCCGCGAGUCCAUAUCUACGGUCCGGUUCGGCACCUCGAUGUCGGCUCAACUUAUCCUGGGGCUGGAGAAGGUCCCAAGGGUUUGGCUGUUCGCCAAUUAAAAAGUUACGUGAGCUGGGUUCAAACCGUGUGAGACAGGUUGGUCUCCUAUCUGCUGCAGGCGUUAGUUCCAGUCAAAUCCUUCGGGAUUUACCGCUGGAACGUUGAUACUUGAGAGGGGUCUCAGAUAGUACGAGAGGACCUCUGAGAGCGAACCUCUGGUCUACCGGCUUUCGCGCCAGCGGAACCGCCGGGUAGCUAAGUUCGUAACUGAUAAGCGCUGAAAGCAUAUAAGCGCGAAGCAGGCCUCAAGAUUAGGUAUUUUAGAUUCCUCGAAGAUUACGAGGUUGAUAGGCUCUAGGUGUAAGACCAGCAAUGGUUUUAGCCGAGGAGUACUAAUAAAUC
Molecule: ribosomal RNA, 3045 nt
Filed under: Candidatus Beckwithbacteria bacterium GW2011_GWA1_46_30
Lineage: Bacteria; Candidatus Beckwithiibacteriota
Description: 23S ribosomal RNA
Rfam family: Bacterial large subunit ribosomal RNA
Source: RNAcentral